This 69-nucleotide transfer RNA is filed under the name Lygodactylus chobiensis (Okavango dwarf gecko). Its description in RNAcentral is "tRNA-Tyr". The record is from RNAcentral. Lineage: Eukaryota; Metazoa; Chordata; Lepidosauria; Squamata; Gekkonidae.
GGUAUAGUGGCCGAGACAGGCGGCGAGUUGUAGCCUCGCAGACCGGGAAGAGUCCCGCGAUACCAGGCC